RNAcentral lists this ribosomal RNA (468 nucleotides) under uncultured bacterium. Its description in RNAcentral is "partial 16S ribosomal RNA". It matches the Rfam family "Bacterial small subunit ribosomal RNA", at positions 28 to 507 of the family's 1533-position model. The record is from RNAcentral.
GACGAACGCUGGCGGCGUGCUUAACACAUGCAAGUCGAACGGAAAGGCCCUGCUUUUGUGGGGUGCUCGAGUGGCGAACGGGUGUGUAACACGUGAGUAACCUGCCCUUGACUUUGGGAUAACUUCAGGAAACUGGGGCUAAUACCGGAUAGGAGCUCCUGCUGCAUGGUGGGGGUUGGAAAGUUUCGGCGGUUGGGGAUGGACUCGCGGCUUAUCAGCUUGUUGGUGGGGUAGUGGCUUACCAAGGCUUUGACGGGUAGCCGGCCUGGGAGGGUGACCGGCCACAUUGGGACUACGGUACGGCCCAGACUCCUACGGGAGGCAGCAGUGGGGAAUAUUGCACAAUGGGGGGAAGCCUGAUACAGCAACGCCGCGUGCGGGAUGACGGCCUUCGGGUUGUAAACCGCUUUCGCCUGUGACGAAGCGUGAGUGACGGUAAUGGGUAAAGAAGCACCGGCUAACUACGUG